UACGUAGGGUGCGAGCGUUGUCCGGAAUUAUUGGGCGUAAAGAGCUUGGAGGCGGUUUGUCGCGUCUGCUGUGAAAACUCAGGGCUUAACCCUGAGCCUGCAGUGGGUACGGGCAGACUAGAGUGUGGUAGGGGAGACUGGAAUUCCUGGUGUAGCGGUGGAAUGCGCAGAUAUCAGGAGGAACACCGAUGGCGAAGGCAGGUCCCUGGGCCACUACUGACGCUGAGAAGCGAAAGCAUGGGGAGCGAACAGG
This 253-nucleotide ribosomal RNA is filed under the name uncultured bacterium. Its description in RNAcentral is "partial 16S ribosomal RNA". It matches the Rfam family "Bacterial small subunit ribosomal RNA", at positions 524 to 776 of the family's 1533-position model. The record is from RNAcentral.